Molecule: long non-coding RNA, 2754 nt
Organism: Hemicordylus capensis (graceful crag lizard)
Lineage: Eukaryota; Metazoa; Chordata; Lepidosauria; Squamata; Cordylidae
Exons: 3
Source: RefSeq, a predicted model, not a curated record
GCUAUGGGGCUGGGCAGGGGGCAAUGGGGAAUCACAUGAGGUGUCCCUGGGGUGCCCCUCCAGGCAGUGGGGCCCCCAGACAACUGUCUCCCCUUGCCCUAUCAUUGUUACGCGCCUGAGCCAGAAAUUGGCCCAAGCUUGGAUGGGUUCAGCAAAUGUAUUUGAAAUCUGAGGGAAUUCUGUUAUAAAAUGAAACUGACAUCUGUUGUUCUACUUAAGGGCAUUAAGUAAGAGUGUGUUAUUAUCAUCAGGAAAAGAGUCAUCCGUCAGAGCUAAGGACCAGGAAUUUUCAGAGAGAAUAUCUGACGUCAGAGACAGAGCCUCCAUCUCAGCUAGAGGGAUCUAAACAAGGGAGAGAUGAUCAAACAUAAGAAACCAGGACACAUGUCUUUGAGAAAAAAGAAAGCUAUUAUCAUUAUCAUUAUUAUCUAAAUACUAAGGUAUUUCCCCUUAUAAUAAGUGCAUUUGUGUCAUGCACAUUAUUAUGUGGAUAAAGCCAUAAGGAAAUUGAGCUAAAACUUUUUUCACUUAUUCUAAAAAGGCUUACAAAUAAUGCAAGAUGGAAAUCACUAACCAUACAUUAAAGAUGCAUUGAUUAAUAUAAUCUUUUGAGGGACCAACCGAGGGACUUAAAGCAUCAACGGCUCCAAAAUUAAUUUUUAAAACCUAGCCUAAUUACAUUUGAAUGGUACAUGCUUUCAGAAAUCCCCACUUCCAAAUGUUGGGCAAUAUUCUGCUUGUCUUUUGCCAGUGACACAGAAGCCUUAAAAAAAAAAGGUACUUUUUUGAAAGCUGGGGUUCCAGAAGCUACUUUAGUUGUGGUCAUGGUAAUGACCUUUUGUCCUGGAGCAGCAGACCCCCAUAAUCUGUUUCUAACAGAGUCUCCUCAGUUUCAAAACAGGUUAUGCCAUGUGGAGGGAGCUGCACUUCAGAAUGCUUAAGCCCACAUGCCCACUGAGAGUGUGGAAUGAGUUGCCCACCUCUUUGUAUUCUGACCUUCAUAUUUAAAUGACUGGUGUUCGGGGUACUCUGUCCUCCUCAGUUCUGAAUGGUAUAGUGACAUUGUGGGAUCUACUUUGCUCACCAUCCCAAGUGCAGUUCUAUACUCAAUUAGCUUAGAAAUCUGAUGGAAUAGCUAGAAUGGGUUAGGAAUCAUUAAGUAUGUGGCUUCUUUAGUUUGCUUCAUAACUGCUAUGCAAAAUACUAAAUAACCGUGAUCACCAUGCACUGAGCAUUUUAUUUCUAUUUAUUUUUCUAUUUAUUUGUUUGUUUUAUUUCUAAAGAAGCAUUCAAGAGCAUAAUAAUACUUUGCCAGUCCCCUUUUAACUGAGAAUCAAUGAUAACAUUCCCAGGGCUGACUCACCCAAUGAAAAAGAAAGUGUUAAAUUCCCAAGGCAUGCACAUUCCCAAUUUCUGGUUGUGCAAACCUGGAAAAAAUUGAUGAUGUUGGGUUGACACUGCACCAACCCAACCCCUACUUGGGAUUGUGAGAUAUUAAUUCUGGCUGUCGAUUCUGUGUAGAUGUUGGGUUGGCAUGGUUCUAACCUGACAACUGAUUUUUGCCAAGUUUACACAAAUGGAAAUUGGAAGCGCUCGUGCCAUGGGAAUGUAGGAUUUAUCACUUACAAGAAGUUCUUUUCAUCAUGUGAACUGGCCCUAAGUGAAGAACUAGUAUAACCUAUUACAGAGAGCAAGAUCCAGAGUACCGCCACAAAGUCUCUUAAUACAGAGUACAAUAGUUACUCUUUCAAUUACCCAGUCAGGGUGUUUAUAGAGUAGGGAAUAGCUUCCAGCGACCCUGUGCAUGUCUCCAAGUGGGGAUUCUAAUCUGUGCUAAAGAUAAAGUGGAGGUAGUUUAAGACAGAUGAAGCCAAAGUAAAUUGGAGCAACCUUCCCUUCUAUGUGGCAUCGAACGUGUUGAGGUCUUGAUCCAAACAUUAGAGAUGUGUGUGGCUCUUUCCGCUACCCUUUAAUGGGUUUAUAGUGGGUAUGUUCUAACACUGUCAAUGCUAUUUAAAAAAUGAAAUUUAUAAUGAACUAUCUAACCCUUUAUUGCAACAUGCUCCCUAAAUAUAUCUCCUUUAAAGACUUCAAGGGCCCUGUGUCAGAUUAAUUACAAAUGUAUUGCUUUGUAUAUCAUAGGCCAUCAUAUACUUUAUUGCAAAGACCAUGCCAAGGUGUUCCCAUUAAUAAAGCAGGGCCAUCUCUGCUCUCAUCCCAAAGCAAUAUUUUUAUUGGCCUUUAUGGGGAAUGUUAAAUUUCCAAGCAAUCAGAGCUUGACAUCUUAUUUAUGGAUUUUAAUGUUUAUCUCUACAGGAGCAUCAAGGUUUUCUUUUCUUAUUUGCAGGAAAUAUCUAUACAGCUAUAAAACUGACUCAUAUGAGUAGCCACUGUUAUAUCAAAACAUACAUCUAUGCCAUGUCCUCCAAUGCCUCCUUUAUCUUAGCAGUUUAUUUUUUUUAUGCCAAAGAAUUAGCGCUUUUACUUUAAGUGCUCAAGCAAUAUGUGUCCAAAGGUAAUAAUGAAUCAUUUAUGAUAUAGUGUGGAGACCAGAGCUGCUUAUAUCUAACCUAGAGAUGUUGGUUUUGUAGAUUUCAGUUUAAAAAAACUCAGUUUAAAACAACCUCCUUUGGGUUAGAGAACGGAAUAUUCUGAUAAGCAUCCAUGAACCUAGUUGUUUUCUGAACUUAAGCUGUACUAACAAAUUUGACCUGGAGCAUGUACUUAAGAAUUCUAAUAUAAUUUUCUAUAAAA